This is a long non-coding RNA of Catharus ustulatus (Swainson's thrush), 1660 nucleotides long. RefSeq lists it as uncharacterized. The transcript is spliced from 4 exons. The record is from RefSeq and is a predicted model, not a curated record. NCBI's taxonomy places the organism in Eukaryota, Metazoa, Chordata, Aves, Passeriformes, Turdidae.
AGCUGGGCACAAAUAACUCAGCAUCUCAGCCCUCUUUCUUACACAUCACAACGACAAGCAGCCUGGAUAGCGAAGAUGGCAACAACUAGCGUUGUCCUUUUUGCCUGAUGCAUGUGAAAAGUCUUCACUUGUAAGUUUGAUAAGCAACAAAUCCUUCAAAUAGAACAGGUUGCAAUUCUGCUCUGCCUGGAAAGUACACACGCAUGGCCUGUCUCUGACUGGAUGCAUGCCAGAUUGUCCUUUGGGAUAGAGCCCAGUGAGAAAGAGAAACGGGUUUGAACUUGGCAAAAUGGCAAUAAGCAUAAAGGAAGAAACUGGAGAGCUGCUUCAUCAGUGCCAAUCCAUACUGUGGUUGGUCUCAUGAAAAGGAUCAUAUUGAUGAAUUAGUGCAUCUACCCUCCCAGCCAUGGAAGAAUACCUCAUACAAAAAAAUCCAUAGGUGACUGAUAGGUGUGGUAAGCAGCCUGUGAAACUUGGGAGAAACAUUCUGGUACACCUGGAAAUCAACCUAGAUCUAAAUUACCUGCCAUUGUGGAUAUUUUAGACUUAAUUCAUGCUUUUCCACCACAAUUCAGAACACUUCCUUUAUCUGAACAGCUUUGCUUUCUUGUUUGUUUGUUUUUUAUGUUUGUCAGUCAUUACACAGUGCUAUUUAGAAUCAAUUUAGCACCCCUCCAUGUGUUAAGUGGUUGUGGUGAGUGAUGAUUGCAGGAUUAGCCUGCUAGUAAUUAAAUGUUGCUGCCUCUUAGCUUGAAAAUGAAACAUCUCUGUGGAAUUUAAGAGUUUUUUACAUUAUUUAGGUUGGCUGUUUCUAAAUAGUAUAGGUAGGUUUACCAAGUUAGUGCAGGCACAGUGCAAUCACAAAAAAAAAUUAAAAAAAAACAAAAAGAAGAAUGGGGAGGAGUAUAGAGAGAGGAAGAAGAGAAAAAUAAAUUGAGAGAAGGAAAACAAAUUCAACUGAUCAUUAAAACUUUGAAUUGCAUGGAAAAUUUUCCACACUGUGCUGAAUCUUGGGUAUAAUUUCCUAAUUUUGGCUUUGUACAAUCUAGAUAAAGUUUCCUAUCUGGACUCAUUUUUACUCACAGAUGGGUCUUCAAAAUUUGCAAGUGUUGUGUUUGUUGAAACCUAGAGGGGUACCUGUCUCAGUAAAGCAGAGGCUGGGUUCCUUACUGUUUGUGGACUUCAUGGAUGCUUGAUUUUCAUACUGGCUUUACCACUAUUAAGAGUUUGACCUCUUGAAUUCACUGAUUAAUGUUUUAAGCAGAAUGAAGGCCUUUAUAAUUUUUUCAAAAUCUGCUAGGAAAAAUCACAUCAUUUCACCAUUCAAAGACAGUUCUUUGCUUCUUCAAAAACGUAUUAGACUGAUCUGUCCUGGGCUCCUCAUAGGAAUGUAGCAGUGUAACCUCAUAUGAUACAAAUUAUGAGCUUCUGUUUGAAAUAAUAGGGAUGAUGUCUAAUCCUAAUUUCUUCUGAUGAACAGACAUCAGAAGGAUUUUAAAUAAAGGUUGUCAGUGAGAGGCCUGCAAGCUACCCUCACUUAGCUCUGUCUGGCCUGUGUUAGGGUGAAGAUGAAGGCAUUUGAAUGUCUUAAUCAAAGCAGAGCAAGAGCUUUUUACCUUGAGUUCUUGUUACAUUUAAGGAUUCAUGCUGAAUAACAACA